CCUCAGGCCUACUAACAGUGAGUCCUUAUUUCAGCCAGAGUAUAAACUACCUAACUUCCUAAGAGAAACUAAAGACAGAACUUCAAUACGAUCCCCUGAAUAAUCCUCUUCUAUUGGAUGCCUGAAACAUAGAUUAUGCCGAUGCCACCACAUCCACCACCAACCCCACUAGAGACAGCAGUUAAUCUGAAGUUAAGAUGGUGCAACUGACGGCCGGAUUUGGCUUUGGAAUAAAAAAAAAUCCUUAUAAUGACACUUGUAACUGGGAAAGCCUCACAAUGUUGUAACACAGCGCUUGAUUAGCAGCCAGUGGACUAUCUCCAGUCCACAGCCAGGCUCCCUUAUGACGGGGUGCGUGAUGUCAUAGAGCAGCUGCAAAUGUCACAGAGCGACUGGGCCUGCAUUCAAGACAGUUAAUAAAGGGCGAAAAAAAAGCGAAUUCA
Suricata suricatta (meerkat) is the source of this 443-nucleotide long non-coding RNA. RefSeq lists it as uncharacterized. The record is from RefSeq and is a predicted model, not a curated record. NCBI's taxonomy places the organism in Eukaryota, Metazoa, Chordata, Mammalia, Carnivora, Herpestidae. The transcript is spliced from 2 exons.